AUUCUCUUAAUUGUAGAUAGAGGCCUUUAAUCUCACAAAUUGCAACAGAAGCCCCCGUCCCCAAACUACCACGGCCGACCGAAGCAGGUUGCUCCAAUUCUGCCCUUUUUGGCCCUUUAUUUUUUUUUUCUUUUUAUCCUCGUCUAAUAGGAAGAAACCAAAUUCAUCAGAUGCAAUAUUUCUCCAAUUCUCAUCUAAGUAGAUCAUAUGCCCACUAUCCAGAUAUGGUCUAUAGACCUCACAAAUUGAGAACAGAGGUGAACCACCAAAAGCUUAGCCCAAAAACUCUAAAUCCAUCCCACAUGCAGUUAUGCGGAAGAAGAUCGCACAAAGACCAAGUCUUCAUCACAAGAGAAGGAAACGGGUAUGUUGCAAUUGGGAUUUUGGAAUUCUUUAUAAAAUCACGAAAAAACAAUUACAAAAUCACAAUAAAGCAAUAGCACAGCUACAUGCCAUUUCGCUUUUGUGGAUCAUGAAAAUCCCAAAUUUUGUCACCCUCCACAUACAAUAUUCAUUGUGCAGUUUGUAUAUGUAUAUAAUAUAUGCACAGAAAACGUGGAAACAGUAAUGCAAAACUUUUAUUUAUUUAAUAUUAUUAUUGUUUGAUUUCAAAAUUUGAAAACAUAACAAUUUCAAAGAUUUAAAUUGACGGGUAACGAAAACUUAAGAAUUAUUCGUCAGAGAAAAAAAAUUGUUUUUGUGACGGAUUCUAACCUUAGCAUGAAGGCUCUGAUACCAAUUGUUGAAUUUAUUUGUAAUCAUACUAAGAACAAGAACCACAAUCUAAUAAAUUAGUAGUUCGAAUUCAUACCUACGGAAGCCAUCAUUUAUAUGAAUAAUAGCAGUCAGAUCUUUCCCUCCUUACUCCUCACAAAGUAUUAGUCGUCAAUGGGACAGGCUAAUAAAAUAAUAUGGAGAGGAGAGGAGACCUAGCUUUUAUAUAGGAAUUUAUUUAGUCGUCACAUUAUCGACUUGAACCCUAAUUAGAGUUUACACAUAAUUCUGGCCCACAUACUCAAAAAUACCACAUUAUAUCAAAUAAAGCCCGUAAGGUGUAAAAUGGCCCAAAUUGAUUACUUCACAUAAUUGGCCUAAUCAUAAAUAUCAUUAUAAGUCAUACAUCUAACCCGUAAAAUUAAUAAUCAAAUGUAAAGCCCAUAUUAGAAUAUUCCAAUAUUUUGAACCUCAUUUUAAUCGGAAUCGGGAGCCACAUUUGCAACAUCGUGCUCAUUUUCUGGAGGUCCUUCGAGAGCUGUGGAUACUGUUGCAGAUAUACCUUCAAACUACACUUGAGCUCCUGCUGCUUCAGAUCUUGACCAUUCAGUGGUUGCAUGCCUUCUCCGGCAUCUGGACAUUCUACACCACUGUUUCCAACUGGGACAACUUUUCAACCAACAGACCCAAUAAUAGGUGCAUCUUUUGUUUCGGCACCGGCUCUGCAUUUCAUCCUACAGUAGCUUUCAAUGGGGAUGCAUUGGUGUUUUCAGUUAUUCUAAGUGGCCUAGAAAGGCUUUGGGACCUAAUUGGUUCAGAGAGGAAAUAAUUAAGAAUAAAGCUUCCAAAUCGAGUUCUGUCCCAGAGUUCCCUAAAAGAUGAUGCCCAAUCCAUGGAAGAAGAAAGUGGUGAUAAAUCUUCUAGGAGGGGACAUUUGUAAGGGAGAGGAAUCAUCAACCACCAAGGCGAUAUACAAGCUCAGUUCACCAAGAAAUCGAAUCAAUACCAAAGCAAACGACCCAAGAACACCACAAAGGUUUCGCCUAUGGUUGCUAAGCUUUUUGCCACUUCAAGAACACCACAAAGGAGGGAAAUAUCACCAAGAUAUAUGCCUUAAAAAGAAUCACAGAAGAUGGAAGUGGUGAAGGUCGAGAGAGGUCACGCAGGGAGAAGAAAGAGACACCAAGUCUUAUUUCUUACAUAGUGGCGUGAAGAGUAGAGAGAAUAUAUUGGACCAAGUCUCAAAUUAUCGUAAGUUAGGUUUUAGGUAAUGGGUCAAGGUCCAAUAACAUGUAAGUGGACAACAGUGUGGACCUCAAAAACUAGCUAGCCAUCCAAAUAGGUAAAAACAUGGCUUAUGAGCAACACAACUUAAUUGGUUGCUUCAAAUGGUCAAAUCUCUUCUUGGGUCGGGUCGUUAUAAUUUGGUAUUGAUUUAUUGCUUAGUCAUAUCGCAAUCGUUGACUGAUAAUUAAUAAAUGGUUUACAUCAUCGCCCGAGAGGUCAUUUGACAACAAUAUGUCCAACAACCUCCACUUUGAUGUCAAAAGACCUGCAAAAAAGAAAGUUUCCUAUUAGUAACACCUCUAACGAAAAACCAAUAAAAUUGGAAAUCAUUUACCUGUACCAAUGUUUAGAAGUUCCUUGCAACUUCUAAACUUUGCCAGUUGCAGUACCUUCAUGCCCAUAUCGGAAGGGUUGUAGUGUGUGUGGACCUUUUCAAGUAUUACAUCCUCUUGAGAUACUAUAUCUCUAAUGAAGUGGAGUCUAACAUCAAUGUGUUUAGUGCGCUCGUGUAAAAUGGGGUUCUUGCACAAAUGUAUAGAUGACUAACUAUCAGAAUACACUACCACAUAAUCAUUCAAGACAUAUAGUUCAUGGAGUAGGCCUCUAAGCCAUAGAGCUUCUUUAAUAGCUUCAGUGGUGUCAAUAUAUUAUGAUUCUGUAGUGGAUAGUGCAACAAUGUGUUGUAAUUGUAAUUUCCAACUAACACAUGAAUUAGAUAAGGUAAACACGUAAGACGAAGUCGAUUUCCUACCAUCUCUAUCUUUCGCAUAAUCAGCAUCUAUAAAAGCCUUCAAUUUUACUCCUUCUUUAUUAGCACUAAACUAUAAACCUACGUCACUUGUACCUUUCAAGUACCUUAAUAGCCAUUUUAACGCUUCCCAAUGUUCAGGGUCCGGAUUAACCAUGUACCUACUGAGAGUACUAACCGCAAAAUCGAAAUCCGGUCUAGUGUAAACCAUCAAAUACAUUAUGGAACCAAUCACAUUAGAGUAAGGCACUCUACUCAUAUAUUCUACUUCACGCUCAUUGCAAGGGGAUUGUUCUUUCGAUAAAAUAAAAUGAUUAGCAAGAGGCAACGUGACAAGUUUGCAAUCACUCAUAUUAAAUUUCUUCAAUACUUUAGAUAUGUAUGGAGACUGAUGCAAGAACAAAAUGGAAUUUGACCUAUCUCUUUCUAUUUCCAUGCCUAGGAUUCUCUUAGCCUUACCUAGGUCUUUCAUGUCAAAUUCACCACUUAAUUUUGCUUUUAUAUUAUUUAUCCACUUAGAGGAAGAACCAAUCAAGAGCAUGUCGUCCACAUAGAGCAACAAAAAUAGAUAAUUAUCAUCAGUCUCAUUGUGUUGAAUAUACAAGCAGUGAUCAAAUUUACUUCUUUCAAACCCUAUAGUGAGUACAAAGGAAUCAAACCUCUUGUACCACUGUCUAGGAGAUUGUUUUAACCCAUAUAAGGAUCUUCUCAGAAAACACACAUAAUCAGGCUUUGACUUAUCCUUAAAACCUUUUGGUUGAUUCAUGAAGAUUUGUUCGUCAAGCUCACCAUGUAAACAAGCAAUUUUUACAUCAAGUUGUUCAAGUUCCCAGUCAAAAUGUGUAACCAAGGCAAGCAUAACCCUAAUAGUGGUGUACUUAACAACUACUAUGAUCCAGAAGUGUUUCAGACCAGACGCAUGACCCGAUCGAUGUCCAUGUACUACCACCCGAAAAUUUACCCUCGGGAAUACCCUUGAGUACCUUUCAUUAGUUUUUGUUCGUGUCUUGUUUAUUAUGAUUGCAUUUUAUCUUCAAAUAUUUGUUGCAAUUUACAUUUGCUGGAGGUUAGGUCAAUGCCCCCCUCCUAUAUUUGUUUUCUCGCUUUUCAUUAUAUAAAAUAAACCACACUAGUGGUAUUUGCCAAAAAAAAAAAAAAAAAAAAAACCUGGAUUUAAACCUUAAGGGUUCCGAACAACUAGUACUUUCUUUAACCUUAAAGACCCAUUUGCAAUCAACGAUUGAUUUGUUCUUAGGCCUAGUUACCAUCACCCAACUAUGCUUUUUUUUCUAGAGAACUCAUCUCUUCUUUCAUUGCCUUAAGUCACUCCUUAGAUUGAUCACUACUGAUGAAUGUAAUUCACUCAUUAAACUAAAACUUCUAAAUCACGUUUUUUGAUGCGUUCUUGGGCAUUUUUGAACGUUUUGAUGUGUCUGUUCGUGUUUUUUUGCAGUUUGGACAACUCUCGAGAAAAUACCACUAUUGGAAGCCUGUGAUGAGCAAAAAUGAUGAUCAAUGAAAUGGAGCAUGAAUAAGCAAGUAUUGAAUAAGAUUGGAGUGGAAAAUAGGCUUGGAAAAUAAAGUGAAGAGAAGCAAAGCAGUGGCAUUGGCAUUGACGCCACGACGCCAAAAAAGGGGCGCCAUGGCGCCCCAAAGCGAUGAAUUUCAAUAGAACCACUGGCGCCGUGGUGCCCAAUGAAGACCAACAAAAGCAGAAACUCUGGCGCUAGUUACCAUGAUAAUCGCGGUGACAUGGCGCCAUGCUUGGGCGCCGUGGCACCAAAUCUCGAAACGUUAAAACCUAAAUUUUUAAUUAUCUUUUCGGCCAAAAAAUCAUACCUUAACCCUUGAGGACUCUUAGAAAAUAUAAAUACCAAGAUGAAGAAGGAGAGAGGGGGGUUAGACGGCUGAAGAGGCAAGAGAAAGAGAAGCACCAAUUGAGAGAAGAUUAACCCAAUUUUGGAGAAGAAGAAGGCAAAAAACUGAGAAAUCAAGCAACAAGAUUGAGAAAUAGAGCAGCAACUAGAGUUUUUUUCUAUCUUUCUCUUAUACAUGCACUCUAGUUUGUAUUUCAUUGCAAUUUUAUUCUCCAUCAUGAACUAAACUUUUAAAUCUAGGGUUUGAUGUAACCUAUUUGAGACAUGAUUUAAUUUCCUUAUAGUAUUUUCAUUUAAUUUUCCAGAAUUGA
RNAcentral lists this long non-coding RNA (4937 nucleotides) under Olea europaea subsp. europaea. The record is from RNAcentral. Lineage: Eukaryota; Viridiplantae; Streptophyta; Magnoliopsida; Lamiales; Oleaceae.